RNAcentral lists this unclassified non-coding RNA (313 nucleotides) under Hevea brasiliensis (rubber tree). Lineage: Eukaryota; Viridiplantae; Streptophyta; Magnoliopsida; Malpighiales; Euphorbiaceae. The record is from RNAcentral.
AACUUCUACCACUUGACAUGCUAAUUGGCUUGACAGGUUGAACAAUAGGUGAAGAUGAAAGCUCCCUAGACAAAACUUGCAACCUAGCAAAUGCUUCCUUGCGUUUAAUAUCCUCCCCAAGUGACCAUUGAUAUUUUAAGUAUGCCAACAUUACUUGAGGUGGCCCAGAAUACCAUCCAUUUUCAGAAGUUUCAGGAUCGUACUGUAAGAGCUUAACAAGAGUAGAUCUUGCCUGGCUGACUCUCCCACUUUUCCGACAAAGAGAAGCAAACUUUAGCCAUGUCUCAAUAUCUUCUGUUGGUGGUAGCACAAG